Molecule: ribosomal RNA, 253 nt
Filed under: uncultured bacterium
Lineage: Bacteria
Description: partial 16S ribosomal RNA
Rfam family: Bacterial small subunit ribosomal RNA
Source: RNAcentral
UACAGAGGUCCCGAGCGUUGUUCGGAUUUACUGGGCGUAAAGGGUGCGUAGGCGGUUGGGUAAGUCUGAUGUGAAAUCCCCGGGCUCAACCCGGGAACGGCAUUAGAAACUGCCCGGCUAGAGGGUUGGAGGGGGGACUGGAAUUCCCGGUGUAGCAGUGAAAUGCGUAGAUAUCGGGAGGAACGCCAGUGGCGAAGGCGAGUCCCUGGACAACCCCUGACGCUGAGGCACGAAAGCUAGGGGAGCAAACAGG